GGGAAUACCAAAAAGGCUUCAAAGAAGACUAUACGUUAUCUACAGAGUGUCUACUUGACCAUAAAAUUGAAACCAAGCUGAGCUACCCACAGACCACACAGGUGACAAUCACCAGGAAUGGCUUCUGGACAUUGUACCGCCACCAAGCCCAUGUUCAUGAAUCCACUGGCCUAAAUGACAUAAUUACAUUGGCGCUGUUUAAU
Molecule: long non-coding RNA, 203 nt
Filed under: Chinchilla lanigera (long-tailed chinchilla)
Lineage: Eukaryota; Metazoa; Chordata; Mammalia; Rodentia; Chinchillidae
Description: lncRNA (ENSCLAG00000029110.1)
Source: RNAcentral